This 177-nucleotide ribosomal RNA is filed under the name uncultured Shewanella sp. Its description in RNAcentral is "partial 16S ribosomal RNA". It matches the Rfam family "Bacterial small subunit ribosomal RNA", at positions 355 to 524 of the family's 1533-position model. The record is from RNAcentral. Lineage: Bacteria; Pseudomonadati; Pseudomonadota; Gammaproteobacteria; Alteromonadales; Shewanellaceae.
UGGGGAAUAUUGCACAAUGGGGGAAACCCUGAUGCAGCCAUGCCGCGUGUGUGAAGAAGGCCUUCGGGUUGUAAAGCACUUUCAGUAGGGAGGAAAGGUUGUAAGUUAAUACCUUGCAGCUGUGACGUUACCUACAGAAGAAGGACCGGCUAACUCCGUGCCAGCAGCCGCGGUAAU